Molecule: ribosomal RNA, 460 nt
Filed under: uncultured bacterium
Lineage: Bacteria
Description: partial 16S ribosomal RNA
Rfam family: Bacterial small subunit ribosomal RNA
Source: RNAcentral
CCUACGGGAGGCAGCAGUGAGGAAUAUUGGUCAAUGGCCGGAAGGCUGAACCAGCCAAGCCGCGUGAGGGAGGAAGGCGCAGAGCGUCGCAGACCUCUUUUGCCGGGGGACAAAAGGCCGGACUCGUCCGGUCCUGAGGGUACCCGGAGAAAAAGCAUCGGCUAACUCCGUGCCAGCAGCCGCGGUAAUACGGAGGAUGCGAGCGUUAUCCGGAUUCAUUGGGUUUAAAGGGAGCGUAGGCCGGCUUUUAAGUCAGCUGUGAAAGUCCGCGGCUCAACCGUGGAAUUGCAGUUGAAACUGGAGGCCUUGAGUGCACACAGGGAUGCCGGAAUUCAUGGUGUAGCGGUGAAAUGCUUAGAUAUCAUGAAGAACUCCGAUCGCGAAGGCAAGUGUCCGGGGUGCAACUGACGCUGAGGCUCGAAAGUGCGGGUAUCAAACAGGAUUAGAUACCCUUGUAGUC